This 305-nucleotide ribosomal RNA is filed under the name uncultured bacterium. RNAcentral describes it as "bacterial SSU rRNA". It matches the Rfam family "Bacterial small subunit ribosomal RNA", at positions 334 to 636 of the family's 1533-position model. The record is from RNAcentral.
UGUUCCUACGGGGGGCAGCAGUGAGGAAUAUUGGUCAAUGGUCGGGAGACUGAACCAGCCAAGCCGCGUGAGGGAUGAAGGUACAGAGUAUCGUAAACCUCUUUCGUCAGGGAACAAAGGCGGGGACGCGUCCCCGGAUGAGUGUACCUGAAGAAAAAGCAUCGGCUAACUCCGUGCCAGCAGCCGCGGUAAUACGUAGGGGGCAAGCGUUAUCCGGAUUUACUGGGUGUAAAGGGAGCGUAGACGGCAGCGCAAGUCUGAAGUGAAAUCCCAUGGCUUAACCAUGGAACUGCUUUGGAAACUGU